RNAcentral lists this ribosomal RNA (253 nucleotides) under uncultured bacterium. RNAcentral describes it as "partial 16S ribosomal RNA". It matches the Rfam family "Bacterial small subunit ribosomal RNA", at positions 524 to 776 of the family's 1533-position model. The record is from RNAcentral.
UACGUAGGGGGCAAGCGUUGUCCGGAAUUAUUGGGCGUAAAGAGCGUGUAGGCGGUUCGGUAAGUCGGCUGUGAAAGCCCAGGGCUCAACCCUGGGAUGCCGGUCGAUACUGCCGGACUAGAGUUCGGAAGAGGCGAGUGGAAUUCCCGGUGUAGCGGUGAAAUGCGCAGAUAUCGGGAGGAACACCUAUGGCGAAGGCAGCUCGCUGGGACGUUACUGACGCUGAGACGCGAAAGCGUGGGGAGCAAACAGG